RNAcentral lists this ribosomal RNA (491 nucleotides) under uncultured Gammaproteobacteria bacterium. RNAcentral's name for it is "bacterial SSU rRNA". It matches the Rfam family "Bacterial small subunit ribosomal RNA", at positions 70 to 558 of the family's 1533-position model. The record is from RNAcentral. Lineage: Bacteria; Pseudomonadati; Pseudomonadota; Gammaproteobacteria.
AGAAAGCACUUCGGUGCGAGUACAGCGGCGGACGGGUGAGUAACGCGUAGGAAUCUACCCGGUAGUGGGGGACAACUUGUGGAAACGCAAGCUAACACCGCAUACGCCCCAAGGGGGAAAGCGGGGGAUCUUCGGACCUCGCGCUAUCGGAUGAGCCUGCGUAGGAUUAGCUAGUUGGUGGGGUAAAGGCUCACCAAGGCGACGAUCCUUAGCUGGUCUGAGAGGAUGAUCAGCCACACUGGGACUGAGACACGGCCCAGACUCCUACGGGAGGCAGCAGUGGGGAAUAUUGCGCAAUGGGGGCAACCCUGACGCAGCCAUGCCGCGUGUGUGAAGAAGGCCUUAGGGUUGUAAAGCACUUUCAAUUGGGAAGAAAAGUUGCAGGUUAAUAACCUGCAGCCCUGACAUUACCUUUAGAAGAAGCACCGGCUAACUCCGUGCCAGCAGCCGCGGUAAUACGGAGGGUGCGAGCGUUAAUCGGAAUUACUGGG